CGGAAAACUGGGGAUAAUACCCUAUAGACUAUGGAUGCUGGAAUGCUUCGUAGUUGAAAGGUCCGCCGCGGUAGGAUGGGUCUGCGGCCGAUUAGGUUGUUGUUGGGGUAACGGCCCAACAAGCCUGUAAUCGGUACGGGUUGUGGGAGCAAGAGCCCGGAGAUGGAUUCUGAGACACGAAUCCAGGCCCUACGGGGCGCAGCAGGCGCGAAAACUUUACAAUGCGGGAAACCGUGAUAAGGGCACUCUGAGUGCCCGUACAAUCGGGCUGUCCAUCAGUUUAAAUAACUGGUGCAGAACGGGCCGGGCCCGACCGGUGCCAGCCGCCGC
RNAcentral lists this ribosomal RNA (330 nucleotides) under uncultured archaeon. Its description in RNAcentral is "partial 16S ribosomal RNA". It matches the Rfam family "Archaeal small subunit ribosomal RNA", at positions 133 to 468 of the family's 1478-position model. The record is from RNAcentral.